RNAcentral lists this ribosomal RNA (425 nucleotides) under uncultured bacterium. RNAcentral describes it as "partial 16S ribosomal RNA". It matches the Rfam family "Bacterial small subunit ribosomal RNA", at positions 354 to 796 of the family's 1533-position model. The record is from RNAcentral.
GUGGGGAAUAUUGCACAAUGGGGGAAACCCUGAUGCAGCAACGCCGCGUGAGUGAUGAAGGCCUUCGGGUUGUAAAGCUCUGUCUUCAGGGACGAUAAUGACGGUACCUGAGGAGGAAGCCACGGCUAACUACGUGCCAGCAGCCGCGGUAAUACGUAGGUGGCAAGCGUUGUCCGGAUUUACUGGGCGUAAAGGGAGCGUAGGCGGACUUUUAAGUGAGAUGUGAAAUACCCGGGCUCAACCUGGGUGCUGCAUUUCAAACUGGAAGUCUAGAGUGCAGGAGAGGAGAGUGGAAUUCCCAGUGUAGCGGUGAAAUGCGUAGAGAUUAGGAAGAACACCAGUGGCGAAGGCGACUCUCUGGACUGUAACUGACACUGAGGCUCGAAAGCGUGGGGAGCAAACAGGAUUAGAUACCCGGGUAGUCC